This 220-nucleotide ribosomal RNA is filed under the name uncultured bacterium. Its description in RNAcentral is "partial 16S ribosomal RNA". It matches the Rfam family "Bacterial small subunit ribosomal RNA", at positions 524 to 743 of the family's 1533-position model. The record is from RNAcentral.
UACGUAGGGGGCAAGCGUUGUCCGGAUUUAUUGGGCGUAAAGAGCGUGUAGGCGGCCACACAGGUCAGCUGUGAAAACUCGAGGCUCAACCUCGAGACGUCGGUUGAAACCGUAUGGCUAGAGUCCGGAAGAGGAGAGUGGAAUUCCCGGUGUAGCGGUGAAAUGCGUAGAGAUCGGGAGGAACAUCUGUGGCGAAGGCGGCCUCCUGGGCCAACACUGA